GGAAACCCAUGGGGUAUGGUAAUAGUGAAAAGGAUGAUUUGAUGCCUUUGGCGUCACUGAAAUGGACAAUCCGCAGCGAAGCCCCUGUUGCUUUAGCAAUAAAGCAUGGGGAACGUUCACAGACUAAGUGGAAAUGGGUGAAGCGUAUAGCUUUGCUUAAGAUAUAGUCGGGCCUCUUGGGAAACCAUGGGGAGAGGAUAGCCCAGCAAUUAUUUGUUGGCUGCCGUGCUUAACCGUUCCGUAGGUGAACCUGCGGAAGGAUCAUUA
RNAcentral lists this ribosomal RNA (267 nucleotides) under Dematiopleospora mariae. Its description in RNAcentral is "partial 18S ribosomal RNA". The stretch from base 1 to 191 matches the Rfam family "Group I catalytic intron", at positions 64 to 253 of the family's 253-position model. Rfam says of the family: Group I catalytic introns are large self-splicing ribozymes. They catalyse their own excision from mRNA, tRNA and rRNA precursors in a wide range of organisms. Lineage: Eukaryota; Fungi; Ascomycota; Dothideomycetes; Pleosporales; Phaeosphaeriaceae. The record is from RNAcentral.